Long non-coding RNA from Hippocampus comes (tiger tail seahorse), 179 nucleotides. RefSeq lists it as uncharacterized. NCBI's taxonomy places the organism in Eukaryota, Metazoa, Chordata, Actinopteri, Syngnathiformes, Syngnathidae. The transcript is spliced from 3 exons. The record is from RefSeq and is a predicted model, not a curated record.
GUGUGUGUGUGUGUGUGUGUGUGUGUGUGUGCGAAAGAGAGAGAGAGAGAGAGUAGUCACCGGUCGAACAACGUCAGAGAACAACGGAGGACGUGAUUGAGCCCCGUCUGAGCCGCGGGUACCGGAGUGACUCCUCGUGAAUCACCUCGUGAUGGUGGUUCCGACUAGAGAAAAAAAAA